This 341-nucleotide unclassified non-coding RNA is filed under the name soil metagenome. Its description in RNAcentral is "partial contains 5.8S ribosomal RNA, internal transcribed spacer 2, and large subunit ribosomal RNA". The stretch from base 1 to 120 matches the Rfam family "5.8S ribosomal RNA", at positions 35 to 154 of the family's 154-position model. The record is from RNAcentral.
GAUGAAGAACGUAGCGAAAUGCGAUAAGUAGUGUGAAUUGCAGAAUUCAGUGAACCAUCGAAUCUUUGAACGCACAUUGCGCCCUUUGGUAUUCCAAAGGGCAUGCCUGUUCGAGCGUCAUUUGUACCCUCAAGCUUUGCUUGGUGUUGGGCGUUUUGUCUCUAGCUUUGCUGGAGACUCGCCUUAAAGUAAUUGGCAGCCGGCCUACUGGUUUCGGAGCGCAGCACAAGUCGCACUCUCUAUCAGCAAAGGUCUAGCAUCCAUUAAGCCUUUUUUUCAACUUUUGACCUCGGAUCAGGUAGGGAUACCCGCUGAACUUAAGCAUAUCAAUAAGCGGAGGA